This 468-nucleotide ribosomal RNA is filed under the name uncultured bacterium. Its description in RNAcentral is "partial 16S ribosomal RNA". It matches the Rfam family "Bacterial small subunit ribosomal RNA", at positions 28 to 507 of the family's 1533-position model. The record is from RNAcentral.
GACGAACGCUGGCGGCGUGCUUAACACAUGCAAGUCGAACGGAAAGGCCCUGCUUUUGUGGGGUGCUCGAGUGGCGAACGGGUGAGUAACACGUGAGUAACCUGCUCUUGACUUUGGGAUAACUUCAGGAAACUGGGGCUAAUACCGGAUAGGAUCUCCUGCUGCAUGGUGGGGGUUGGAAAGUUUCGGCGGUUGGGGAUGGACUCGCGGCUUAUCAGCUUGUUGGUGGGGUAGUGGCUUACCAAGGCUUUGACGGGUAGGCGGCCUGAGAGGGUGACCGGGCACAAUGGGACUGAGAUAGGGCCCAGACUGCUACGGGAGGCAGCAGUGGGGAAUAUUGCACAGUGGGCGGAAGCCUGAUGCAGCGGCGCCGCGUGCGGGAUGACGGCCUGCGGGUAGUAAAACGCUUUCGCCUGUGACGAAGCGUGAGUGACGGUAAUGAGUAAAGAAGCACCGGCUAACUACGUG